Molecule: ribosomal RNA, 253 nt
Filed under: uncultured bacterium
Lineage: Bacteria
Description: partial 16S ribosomal RNA
Rfam family: Bacterial small subunit ribosomal RNA
Source: RNAcentral
UACAGAGGGUGCAAGCGUUAUCCGGAUUUAUUGGGCGUAAAGGGUGCGUAGGGGGUUUCGUGCGUCUUUUGUUAAAUCUCACCGCUCAACGGUGGGGCUGCAAGAGAUACGGCGAAGCUAGAGGAUGCGAGAGGUCUGUGGAACACAAGGUGUAGGGGUGAAAUCCGUUGAUAUCUUGUGGAACACCAAAGGCGAAGGCAGCAGACUGGCGCAUUUCUGACCCUGAGGCACGAAAGCGUGGGGAGCAAAAAGG